CGGUCAACCUUGAGAGUGCCGACGAAACCGGUUUUCUUGAGUGCGGAUGAAGUAGGCGGAAUUUGUGGUGUAGCGGUGAAAUGCGUAGAUAUCACAAAGAACACCGAUUGCGGAGGCAGCUUACUAAACCGCAACUGACGCUCAUGCACGAAGGCGUGGGGAUCAAACAGGAUUAGAUACCCUGGUAGUCCACGCAGUAAACGAUGAUUACUAGCUGUUUGCGAUACAAUGUAAGCGGCUGAGCGAAAGCGUUAAGUAAUCCACCUGGGGGGUACGUUCGCAAGAAUGAAACUCAAAGGAAUUGACGGGGGCCCGCACAAGCGGAGGAACAUGUGGUUUAAUUCGAUGAUACGCGAGGAACCUUACCCGGGCUUGAAAUGCAUCUGACGGGCUGGAAACGGUCUUUCCAGCGAUGGGCAGAUGUGUANGUGCUGCAUGGUUGUCGCAGCUCGUGCCGUGAGGUGUCGCUUUAAGUGCC
Molecule: ribosomal RNA, 478 nt
Filed under: uncultured bacterium
Lineage: Bacteria
Description: bacterial SSU rRNA
Rfam family: Bacterial small subunit ribosomal RNA
Source: RNAcentral